Molecule: ribosomal RNA, 254 nt
Filed under: uncultured bacterium
Lineage: Bacteria
Description: partial 16S ribosomal RNA
Rfam family: Bacterial small subunit ribosomal RNA
Source: RNAcentral
UACAGAGGAUGCAAGCGUUAUCCGGAAUGAUUGGGCGUAAAGCGUCUGUAGGUGGCUUUUUAAGUCCGCCGUCAAAUCCCAGGGCUCAACUCUGGACAGGCGGUGGAAACUACCAAGCUGGAGUACGGUAGGGGCAGAGGGAAUUUCCGGUGGAGCGGUGAAAUGCGUAGAUAUCAAGAGGAACACCUGAGGGGAAGACGGGUUGCUGGGCCGACACUGACGCUGAGUGCGCGAAAGCCAGGGGAGCAAACGGG